Molecule: long non-coding RNA, 654 nt
Organism: Lagopus muta (rock ptarmigan)
Lineage: Eukaryota; Metazoa; Chordata; Aves; Galliformes; Phasianidae
Exons: 4
Source: RefSeq, a predicted model, not a curated record
AGGAUCCCAUAGGGGGCACUGGGUGCCAUAGGGUGCUAUGGGGUCCUGCCUGGGGAUGGGUGCUCUAGGAUCCCAUAGGGGGCACUGGGUGCCAUAGGGUGCUAUGGGGUCCUGCCUGGGGAUGGGUGCUCUAGGAUCCCAUAGGGGGCACUGGGUGCCAUGGGGUCCCCUGUAUCCCACAGAGAUGGAUGCUCUAGGAUCCCAUAGGGGGCACUGGGUGCCAUAGGGUGCUAUGGGGACCUGCCUGGGGAUGGGUGCUCUAGGAUCCCAUAGGUGACCCCCACUGCCAUGGGGUCCCCAAACCCCACUGUGGAUGGGUGCUCUAGGAUCCCAUGGGUGCCUCCCACCGCCAUGGGGUGCCCUGUAUCCCAUGGGGUCUCCUGUAUCCCCCAGAGAUGGAUGCUCUAGGAUCCCAUAGGGGGCACUGGGUGCCAUAGGGUGCUAUGGGGUCCUGCCUGGGGAUGGGUGCUCUAGGAUCCCAUAGGUGCCCCCCACCACCAUGGGGUGCCCUGUAUCCCAACAGGAUGGAUCCUAUAGCAUCCCAUAGGUGCCAUUGGGUGCCAUGGGGUCCCAUGACAUUAGGGUCAGAACUUCCCCCUCACAUCCAACCUCAAUCUUCCCUCCUUCAACUUGGAUCCAUUUCCCCUCGUCCUG